GAUGAACGCUGGCGGCGUGCCUAAUACAUGCAAGUCGAGCGAACGGACGAGAAGCUUGCUUCUCUGAUGUUAGCGGCGGACGGGUGAGUAACACGUGGAUAACCUACCUAUAAGACUGGGGUAACUUCGGGAAACCGGAGCUAAUACCGGAUAAUAUUUUGAACCGCAUGGUUCAAAAGUGAAAGACGGUCUUGCUGUCACUUAUAGAUGGAUCCGCGCUGCAUUAGCUAGUUGGUAAGGUAACGGCUUACCAAGGCAACGAUGCAUAGCCGACUUGAGAGGGUGAUCGGCCACACUGGAACUGAGACACGGUCCAGACUCCUACGGGAGGCAGCAGUAGGGAAUCUUCCGCAAUGGGCGAAAGCCUGACGGAGCAACGCCGCGUGAGUGAUGAAGGUCUUCGGAUCAUAAAACUCUGUUAUUAGGGAAGAACAUAUGUGUAAGUAACUGUGCACAUCUUGACGGUACCUAAUCAGAAAGCCACGGCUAACUACGUG
Molecule: ribosomal RNA, 497 nt
Filed under: uncultured bacterium
Lineage: Bacteria
Description: partial 16S ribosomal RNA
Rfam family: Bacterial small subunit ribosomal RNA
Source: RNAcentral